This 251-nucleotide ribosomal RNA is filed under the name uncultured bacterium. Its description in RNAcentral is "partial 16S ribosomal RNA". It matches the Rfam family "Bacterial small subunit ribosomal RNA", at positions 524 to 776 of the family's 1533-position model. The record is from RNAcentral.
GACAGAGGAUGCAAGCGUUAUCCGGAAUGAUUGGGCGUAAAGCGUCUGUAGGUGGCUUAAAAAGUCUCCUGUCAAAGAUCAGGCUUAACCCUGGGCCGCAGGAGAAACUCUUAGGCUAGAGUUUGGUAGGGGCAGAGGGAAUUCCCGGUGGAGCGGUGAAAUGCGUAGAGAUCGGGAGGAACACCAAAGGCGAAAGCACUCUGCUGGGCCACAACUGACACUGAGAGACGAAAGCGAGGGGAGCAAAAGGG